This 72-nucleotide transfer RNA is filed under the name Bos taurus (domestic cattle). It matches the Rfam family "tRNA". Rfam says of the family: Transfer RNA (tRNA) molecules are approximately 80 nucleotides in length. Their secondary structure includes four short double-helical elements and three loops (D, anti-codon, and T loops). Further hydrogen bonds mediate the characteristic L-shaped molecular structure. tRNAs have two regions of fundamental functional importance: the anti-codon, which is responsible for specific mRNA codon recognition, and the 3' end, to which the tRNAs corresponding amino acid is attached (by aminoacyl-tRNA synthetases). tRNAs cope with the degeneracy of the genetic code in two manners: having more than one tRNA (with a specific anti-codon) for a particular amino acid; and 'wobble' base-pairing, i.e. permitting non-standard base-pairing at the 3rd anti-codon position. The record is from Rfam by way of RNAcentral. RNAcentral also lists the same sequence under 3 other names. Lineage: Eukaryota; Metazoa; Chordata; Mammalia; Artiodactyla; Bovidae.
UCCCUGGCAGCUUAAACAGUAGAGCAUCUGCCUGCAGUGCAGGAGGCCCGGGUUCCAUCCCUGGAUUGGGAA